RNAcentral lists this ribosomal RNA (514 nucleotides) under uncultured Acidobacteriota bacterium. RNAcentral describes it as "bacterial SSU rRNA". It matches the Rfam family "Bacterial small subunit ribosomal RNA", at positions 391 to 896 of the family's 1533-position model. The record is from RNAcentral. Lineage: Bacteria; Pseudomonadati; Acidobacteriota.
GCAACGCCGCGUGAAGGAUGAAAUCCCUCGGGAUGUAAACUUACGCAAAGAACGGGAAGAAUAAGUUUGUGCUAAUACCACAAGCGAUGACGGUACUGUUUGUAAGCUCCGGCUAACUCCGUGCCAGCAGCCGCGGUAAUACGGGGGAGCAAGCGUUGUUCGGAUUUACUGGGCGUAAAGGGCGCGUAGGCGGCCUCCGCAAGUCAGUUGUGAAAUCUCCGAGCUUAACUCGGAAAGGUCAACUGAUACUGCGGGGCUAGAGUGCGGAAGGGGCAACUGGAAUUCUUGGUGUAGCGGUGAAAUGCGUAGAUAUCAAGAGGAACACCUGCGGCGAAGGCGGGUUGCUGGGCCGACACUGACGCUGAGGCGCGAAAGCUAGGGGAGCGAACGGGAUUAGAUACCCCGGUAGUCCUAGCCUUAAACGAUGAAUGCUUGGUGUCUGGGGUUAUAAAGUCCCCGGGUGCCGUCGCUAACGCUUUAAGCAUUCCGCCUGGGGAGUACGGUCGCAAGACUG